AUCUGCCCAGUCGAGGGGGAUAACAGUUGGAAACGACUGCUAAUACCGCAUACGCCCUACGGGGGAAAGGAGGGGACCUUCGGGCCUUCCGCGAUUGGAUGAACCUAGGUGGGAUUAGCUAGUUGGCGAGGUAAUGGCUCACCAAGGCGACGAUCCCUAGCUGUUCUGAGAGGAUGAUCAGCCACACUGGGACUGAGACACGGCCCAGACUCCUACGGGAGGCAGCAGUGGGGAAUAUUGCACAAUGGGCGAAAGCCUGAUGCAGCCAUGCCGCGUGUGUGAAGAAGGCCUUCGGGUUGUAAAGCACUUUCAGUAGGGAGGAAAGGUUAACGAUUAAUACUCGUUAGCUGUGACGUUACCUACAGAAGAAGGACCGGCUAACUCCGUGCCAGCAGCCGCGGUAAUACGGAGGGUCCGAGCGUUAAUCGGAAUUACUGGGCGUAAAGCGUGCGCAGGCGGUUAUUUAAGCCAGAUGUGAAAGCCCCGGGCUCAACCUGGGAAUUGCAUUUGGAACUGGGUAACUAGAGUCUUGUAGAGGGAGGUAGAAUUUCAGGUGUAGCGGUGAAAUGCGUAGAUAUCUGAAGGAAUACCGGUGGCGAAGGCGGCCUCCUGGACAAAGACUGACGCUCAUGCACGAAAGCGUGGGGAGCAAACAG
RNAcentral lists this ribosomal RNA (656 nucleotides) under uncultured bacterium. RNAcentral describes it as "bacterial SSU rRNA". It matches the Rfam family "Bacterial small subunit ribosomal RNA", at positions 124 to 775 of the family's 1533-position model. The record is from RNAcentral.